GCCCACGGCUCGCCGUCUUGCGCGCUCAGGCUCCUGGGCGAGUGACGCUUGCCAUGCGCAUGCGCCCGAUCGCACACAUUUGCCUAUGCAUGCGUGAGUCUGUGCGCCUAUCUUGCUUGAUGGCACACUCAUUCUUCUCUCGUUCUCUCCUGUGAUGGACGCUUCUUGUGAUGCGCGCACUUGCAGCUGUUGGCUGAGAACUCGAGGGCCUCCCCUGCGUCUGUCCGCCCUGUUGGCACUGCGCUCACCCUUCGCCGUCCCACCCCCCGUCCCAUUCUUUCUCUUCGAAGAACAAGGAGGGGGAAGAGAAAGGGCCACUCAAGUCUUCGCUGCCACUGCAGACACUCAGCCGCAGCCCUCUUCCCUCUCUCUGAAGUUCCAACUCUCCGCUUCAGCAUCAUCCGGCAUCUCCGGUGCACGACAACGCGCCCAGACCUGUUUAGGCUUGCCGCCUUUCCCGGCGCUCGCCGCUCAUCCCCAUUCUCGUGACGGCGACGACCGACGCUGCGCGGAAGGGUCAUGAGAAUGAUGAAGCCGUUGUGUUGUUCCCCAAGGCGCAUGCUGUCGGCGCUCGUGGGCUGUCAGCGUUCUUACGUGGUUGUCGGUGGUGCUGGUCGGUGCGCUGGCCACGGCGAUGGAGGUGAUUGCGUGCUACAUGAUGGAGGACCUGGACAAGCGCCCUCAUAGCGAUUUGGACCUGGUAACUAAGGCAGUCAUCGCAUGUGCGCUGUAUGCGGCGACUGUGGAUGCGGUGACGACAUCCUUUCUCUCCAGCAUCGCUGUCGAGGUGCCUUGAGCUGUGCGUGGUGUGCAGUGGCUCUCCCCGUCUCACCCAUCAUGCUGCCAAGUGUUUGCGUGCGCGCUUUUCCCUGCGCGGUCUCUUCCGGCCACGUACCUUUCCGUGGUUUCCGUGUACGACACCGUGCGGAGCGGAGAUGAAGACGUGCGUUUGUGCGUCUUGUGGCCCCUCACGCGUGCGUGCACCACUUGCUUCGGCGCCUUCCGUGCCGUGGGGAUCAUUUCUGGCAGGUGCGUUGUGCAACGCUGCGAAAGAGGGGAAGGCAGGCGCACACCUUUCGACCUCAUCGCCCACAUACACCUCUCCGCUCCACCCGACGCGGUAGUGCAGAGCUCGACGAAACGCAGCCCAAGCUGUUGGCGUGAAUGCCGUAUUGUCUUCCCUUUUCCCUCCGGUGGGUGGAAGGAGGGGGUCGCACCAUGCGUUGCUCUGCCUACACCUUUCUCCUGUUCUGGAACGAACAGUGCGUACCGUCCUACUGAUCAUUGCCCACUGUUGAGACUUGCGCACGCAUCCGCUUCAGCACCGCCACCGCCAUCCACGCAAAUGACGGAACGAGUUGUUGUGCGCUUGUUCCGUCCUACACAUGCACGCGCUGCGCAGUGCAGAGUCCAGCGUGCGGGUAUGUUUCUGCGCGUGCACUGCUGCGCAUUCCUUGUUGUGUGUCUCAGUGCUCCGCCUCCCGCCUUGCUGCUUCGGUCAUACUUACGUGCGCUGUCUUCCCUCUCCAUCCGUGCCGCCUCUCUCCAUCGCUUCUUCUCUUGGGCGUACGCGCCCACUGUAUAUGCAUGCUCCCUCCCCCUUCGCCCGCACCUGGUGAUACGCGUGCGCGUGCGCAUCUCCGUCCGUCUGACGCUCCCUUCCGCCCUCCCUCACUUCACUAGUCGUCGCGCUUUGGGCCUUUCGCCCAUCCGUGGCGGUGCCGCGUUUAUCGCUCACGCGUUGCCCCCCGCGUGUGCUUCUCU
Molecule: unclassified non-coding RNA, 1764 nt
Filed under: Leishmania donovani
Lineage: Eukaryota; Euglenozoa; Kinetoplastea; Trypanosomatida; Trypanosomatidae
Description: gene:LdHU3.23.2420(CDS-product:hypothetical_prote in_conserved)
Source: RNAcentral